AAAUCCAACUCGUUUUCCAGAAACGAUAUUGCAAGCUUUUAUCAUAAAACAAAUGAAAAAGUUACAUUUUGUUGAAGUUUGAUCCACGAAAUGGGCAAUACUGCCAGUAGUGACAGCGAAGAUGAAGUACGUGUUGACAACAAAGAGGUCGAUGAUGGCUAUUCUGACAGUGAAGCAGAAACUGGAGACAAAGAUGGUCCCUCACUCACAGACCUCCACGCUCUCUUCAAUGAACCAGGGCUACUACGAUCAGUUGCAUCAAAAAUAAAGGACCCGAUCCCUGACAAUG
This 289-nucleotide long non-coding RNA is filed under the name Haliotis rubra (blacklip abalone). RNAcentral's name for it is "uncharacterized LOC124268039, transcript variant X2". The record is from RNAcentral. Lineage: Eukaryota; Metazoa; Mollusca; Gastropoda; Lepetellida; Haliotidae.